Molecule: ribosomal RNA, 407 nt
Filed under: bacterium enrichment culture clone ALO1_GLFRUDD03GXWJ1
Lineage: Bacteria
Description: bacterial SSU rRNA
Rfam family: Bacterial small subunit ribosomal RNA
Source: RNAcentral
GGAGUUUGAUCCUGGCUCAGAUUGAACGCUGGCGGCAUGCCUUACACAUGCAAGUCGAACGGCAGCACGGGAGCUUGCUCCUGGUGGCGAGUGGCGAACGGGUGAGUAAUGCAUCGGAACGUAUCCUGGAGUGGGGGAUAACGUAGCGAAAGUUACGCUAAUACCGCAUAUUCUGUGAGCAGGAAAGCGGGGGGACCUUCGGGCCUCGCGCUCUUGGAGCGGCCGAUGUCGGAUUAGCUAGUUGGUGAGGUAAAGGCUCACCAAGGCGACGAUCCGUAGCAGGUCUGAGAGGAUGAUCUGCCACACUGGAACUGAGACACGGUCCAGACUCCUACGGGAGGCAGCAGUGGGGAAUUUUGGACAAGUGGGGGCAACCCUGAUCCAGCCAUGCCGCGUGAGUGAAGAGG